Molecule: unclassified non-coding RNA, 208 nt
Filed under: Hevea brasiliensis (rubber tree)
Lineage: Eukaryota; Viridiplantae; Streptophyta; Magnoliopsida; Malpighiales; Euphorbiaceae
Source: RNAcentral
AGGAAGAUGCUGCACUAUGGUUAGACCAUUCAAAAACUUUCCAGAAAGGCCGUUGCUUGCGCUUGCGAUGGUUAGCUAUCUGUUCUGAUUCUGAUCUUCUCAACAUCUCCCACAUCACUUGAACAUCUUCAUAUCCACAGGUCUGCACGUCAUUGUGAAGCUUCAGAAGCCCAGCACCCUUAUUGCGAGGCUUGAAACGAGCAGAGAG